This 70-nucleotide transfer RNA is filed under the name Acidobacteriota bacterium. RNAcentral's name for it is "tRNA-Gly". It matches the Rfam family "tRNA". From Rfam's summary of the family: Transfer RNA (tRNA) molecules are approximately 80 nucleotides in length. Their secondary structure includes four short double-helical elements and three loops (D, anti-codon, and T loops). Lineage: Bacteria; Pseudomonadati; Acidobacteriota. The record is from RNAcentral.
GGGUGUAUUUCAAUGGCUAGAAUGAUGGUCUUCCAAACCGUAGAUGCGGGUUCGAGUCCCGUCAGCCCCG